Molecule: long non-coding RNA, 427 nt
Organism: Ornithodoros turicata
Lineage: Eukaryota; Metazoa; Arthropoda; Arachnida; Ixodida; Argasidae
Exons: 4
Source: RefSeq, a predicted model, not a curated record
UUCGUUGAUUUGCUGCUUUCAGUCUUCACUGCAGUUGCAUAUGUUACACAUUCUUCAGGAACAGCUGGCUGCGCACUCUCAGAGCACGGGCACUUCAGACGGGCUUCUUCGGGCAUCUUCACAUCCCACUGCUGACCCUGGGAGCUGCCAGGGGCCUAUUGAACCACGCCUUUUAAGUGUACCACACUCAGUUUUGAAUAGUCAGAAUUUGGAACUCAUUGACCCAGUCAGUAGUGACCAGGACUGAUAACACUGCUGGGCAAGUACCAGAUGAGGGUGCUCAAGGCUGUUCGACAGAGCACCAACCACGGCCUGUCAAUCGUGAGGCAAGGCGUGCCAAGGUCAAUAGUCGCACCCCGCGACCAUUUUUGGGGCGGUCCUGUGCCAAGAGUACCCCAACUCGGCCAAACUUAGAUAUUGCUGGCAG